RNAcentral lists this ribosomal RNA (465 nucleotides) under uncultured bacterium. RNAcentral describes it as "partial 16S ribosomal RNA". It matches the Rfam family "Bacterial small subunit ribosomal RNA", at positions 28 to 507 of the family's 1533-position model. The record is from RNAcentral.
GAUGAACGCUGGCGGCGUGCUUAACACAUGCAAGUCGAACGGAAAGGCUCCUGCUUGCAGGGGUACUCGAGUGGCGAACGGGUGAGUAACACGUGGGUGAUCUGCCCUGCACUUCGGGAUAAGCCUGGGAAACUGGGUCUAAUACCGGAUAGGACGAUGGUUUGGAUGCCAUUGUGGAAAGUUUUUCGGUGUGGGAUGAGCUCGCGGCCUAUCAGCUUGUUGGUGGGGUAAUGGCCUACCAAGGCGUCGACGGGUAGCCGGCCUGAGAGGGUGUACGGCCACAUUGGGACUGAGAUACGGCCCAGACUCCUACGGGAAGCAGCAGUGGGGAAUAUUGCACAAUGGGCGCAAGCCUGAUGCAGCGACGCCGCGUGGGGGAUGACGGCCUUCGGGUUGUAAACUCCUUUCGCUAGGGACGAAGCGCAAGUGACGGUACCUGGAGAAGAAGCACCGGCUAACUACGUG